This 133-nucleotide ribosomal RNA is filed under the name uncultured bacterium. RNAcentral describes it as "partial 16S ribosomal RNA". The record is from RNAcentral.
CGGGUAUUAACCGCACGGCCGUUCUUCCCUGCUGACAGAGCUUUACGACCCAAAGGCCUUCAUCACUCACGCGGCGUCGCUGGAUCAGGCUUGCGCCCAUUGUCCAAUAUUCCUCACUGCUGCCUCCCGUAGG